This is a long non-coding RNA of Bos taurus (domestic cattle), 1208 nucleotides long. Lineage: Eukaryota; Metazoa; Chordata; Mammalia; Artiodactyla; Bovidae. The record is from Ensembl.
GAGCUCCUGCGUUCUCCUACCUCCAGGACCUUCUGCCUAGAACAGAUGUCGUUGUUGUUUAGUCGCUAAGUCGUGUCCGACUCUUUGCUACCCAGUGGACUGUAGCCCUGCCAGGCUCAUCUGUCCAUGGGAUUUCCCAGACAAGAAUACUGGAGUGAGUUUCCAUUUCCUUCUCCAGGGGAACUUCCUGAUCCAGGGAUCGAACCCCUGUCUCCUGCAUUGGCAGGCAGAUUCUUUACUAUUGAGCCACCAGGGAAGCCCAUCUAGAGCAGCACUCCCCUUGGUCUGGAUAACUGUGACCAUCUCCGGUCUCUAGCCCAAGCCACCCAGACCUCGCUGGUGCCCUUGCUCCUCCACUGAGCCCCUGACACGCUUUGCCAUCAUCUCUGUCUUUAUUUCUACUGAAGGGGGAUCACGCUGUAGGAGGCAAGGGUCUACUUUUGUUCCAUCCACACCCCCAGUACCUGAACGUGCCUGGCCCACAGCUGGGGCCCAACGCAAACUUGCUGAAUGAAUGAAUGAGCUAUAACCUAAAGAAGUCGGGAGUCUUGGGGAAGGCAGACAUGAAGAUGAGUAACCUGCAAAAGAAAAUGCAAGGGGUCUGAGAAAUCCAGAUAAUUCAGCUCAAGGUUGAAGGAGGGGCUGUAGGCAUUCUGUCCCCUCGCCCUCACCCUGGACGCCAUGGACAACCUCUGGGAGCUGGGACCUCAUCCGUGUGCUCCGAAGCUGAUCACAGAGGGAAGGAGGCGGGUUAGAAUCUGAAGGUGAUCAGAAACCGGACUGGGGAUGCAAGGAGCUUGGUGAUGCCGACCACCGGCUGGCCCCGCUGAGAACCUGAGGCACCCUCAGAGAAGAGAGACUUGAGGGGGCGAGAAGGCAAGGCAGGAACACAGAAAGAAAAAUAGGAUUGGGGAGAGGAAGGAGAGAGAGGAAAUUCUUGGGCACAGUCCUAAUCAUAGCCUUGAAAUGAAAUUUACUGCUGCACUCAGCAUGGGACGCCAGCCAGCGCCGCCAAACCAGCCCCCCUUCUGUUUGGAUUAGUCGAUGACAUCAUGGCCAUGGGCCAUCACUCCCAACACCAAAGGAAGAGCAGGAUGGCGGGCGGGAAACCUGAGCCUCCUGCCUCUGGCUUCCAGGGAGGGGAACCUGAAACCAGGAAAACUCAACCGCAACCCUCCCCUGCUGAGCUGGGCAGCCAGUCCCCCAGC